This 74-nucleotide transfer RNA is filed under the name Holospora undulata HU1. It matches the Rfam family "tRNA". Rfam says of the family: Transfer RNA (tRNA) molecules are approximately 80 nucleotides in length. Their secondary structure includes four short double-helical elements and three loops (D, anti-codon, and T loops). Further hydrogen bonds mediate the characteristic L-shaped molecular structure. tRNAs have two regions of fundamental functional importance: the anti-codon, which is responsible for specific mRNA codon recognition, and the 3' end, to which the tRNAs corresponding amino acid is attached (by aminoacyl-tRNA synthetases). tRNAs cope with the degeneracy of the genetic code in two manners: having more than one tRNA (with a specific anti-codon) for a particular amino acid; and 'wobble' base-pairing, i.e. permitting non-standard base-pairing at the 3rd anti-codon position. Lineage: Bacteria; Pseudomonadati; Pseudomonadota; Alphaproteobacteria; Holosporales; Holosporaceae. The record is from Rfam by way of RNAcentral.
GGGGAUGUAGCUCAGUUGGUUAGAGCGCCGGCCUGUCACGUCGGAGGUCGCGGGUUCGAGUCCCGUCGUUCCCG